This 253-nucleotide ribosomal RNA is filed under the name uncultured bacterium. Its description in RNAcentral is "partial 16S ribosomal RNA". It matches the Rfam family "Bacterial small subunit ribosomal RNA", at positions 524 to 776 of the family's 1533-position model. The record is from RNAcentral.
UACGGAGGGUGCAGGCGUUAAUCGGAAUUACUGGGCGUAAAGCGUGCGCAGGCGGUCUGCUAAGAGAGGUGUGAAAUCCCCGGGCUUAACCUGGGAACUGCGCUUCUAACUGGCAGGCUAGAGUGUGGCAGAGGGGGGUGGAAUUCCACGUGUAGCAGUGAAAUGCGUAGAGAUGUGGAGGAACACCGAUGGCGAAGGCAGCCCCCUGGGCUAACACUGACGCUCAUGCACGAAAGCGUGGGGAGCAAACGGG